RNAcentral lists this ribosomal RNA (253 nucleotides) under uncultured bacterium. RNAcentral's name for it is "partial 16S ribosomal RNA". It matches the Rfam family "Bacterial small subunit ribosomal RNA", at positions 524 to 776 of the family's 1533-position model. The record is from RNAcentral.
UACGGAGGAUCCGAGCGUUAUCCGGAUUUAUUGGGUUUAAAGGGAGCGUAGGUGGAUUGUUAAGUCAGUUGUGAAAGUUUGCGGCUCAACCGUAGAAUUGCAGUUGAAACUGGCAGUCUUGAGUACAGUAGAGGUGGGCGGAAUUCGUGGUGUAGCGGUGAAAUGCUUAGAUAUCACGAAGAACUCCGAUUGCGAAGGCAGCUCACUGGACUGCAACUGACACUGAGGCUCGAAAGUGUGGGUAUCAAACAGG